UUGUAGAAAACAGGUAUCACAUCCCUUCCAUAUCUCUUCUUGCAUUCAAGUAUCUUAGUGAGUUCAUUCAAGCACCAAGUGGAAGAUGCAUAGUUUUGGGAGAAAACGAUGACAUAAAUCUUUGAUUCUUCUAUUGCAGAGAGUAGUGCAGGUGAAAUUUCUUCGCCCCGGGGUAGUCUCUCGUCAAUAUAUGCUUGAAUGUUCUUCCUUUGCAGUGCUGCAUGAAGGUGACGAAUGAAGUUGUCACGUGUGUCUUCCCCUCUGAAGCUGAGAAACACAUCAUGCUUUGUUAGAGAAGCAGACACGGGGAAUGAUGAAGGACUUCCUGACAUUGGAAUCAAUUUUCUCUCUUUUCUCUUGCAACUCUCAGUGCCUUUGUUUGUACACAAAUCAACUCUUGGAAAAGUCUUUGAAUUUUCUCAAAAGUAUCUUUCACAGAUCACGCACGCGUGGAAACAUAGCUGUGUUAAAAUCCUUAUUUAAGUUUUAAUUGGGCCUUGUAGUGGGCUUUGUAAUGUGCUUUUCUUUUCUCCUACAUUGCUUUAUAUAUACACCUCAGCGUUUGCUUUCUACAUUUCAUUUUACAAAAUACAUUCUCUCAUUUUCUACCUUUUAUAUUGUCUGAUUCCGUUCUCUCUUUAUUUUUUUUCAAAUCUCUUUUGCUUACAAUUUUUUUUUCUUUUUUAAGAAAUGUACUUUUUCAAGUUUAAUUUAAUUUUAUAAAACAGUCAUCUUUCUACAGUAUUAUCAUCUCUUACGUGAGAUUAUUAUAUAUUAUUUGGUGAUCUAAGUAAACUUUUAAUCCAAUAAACUUUAAAAAUAAUUCUAAUACUAUAUUAAAAAAUGAAAUUUAAAUCUAAUUCUAUUUUAUAAAAUAUAUUUAUUCAAUGCUAAAAUAUCUCUAAUUGAGUAGGGAUGUUCAAAAUACUUAUUGGUUCUUGAUUUUCACUUUCACUUUUAAGGUUUUUCUUCGCAGACACGUAGUAAACAGAAAUACAAAAAUAUGAGUCAAUGGAAGAGUCUAACGAUUCGCAGAAUAUUAUGGUGUCUAGCUUUAUACCGCAUUAAUGCGAGGAGUUUCUUUAAUAUUUUUACUCAAUUUAUUUAUUUUUAAUUCUUUUUUUUUUCACACCUUUUACAAAUAAAGAAUCGUAUUUCUUUAAUAUAUUUUAGAAAAUAACCACUAAACCUUAUUAUAAAAUAUAUUUAUGAAAUGCACGUGUAAGAAUAACAGGAAAAAUAUUACUACGAAAAACAAUAUAUUAAUAUUAAUAUGUUUCUUAAUAAAUUUCAUACCCACUGUCUAUUUAUAAAUUAAUAUAAUAUAAAUAUCUUUAAUGAUGUUUUUGUGGGUAGCUUAUUUCUCUAACGCAGAAUAUUAUGGUGUCUACUUUUAUAAAACAUUACAUUUUGAUUUUAAUAUUUAUUAAAUAUUUUUUAUUUGGGAUGAAGUAACGAUGAUGAAUCGAAUGUGUUUUGAAGUCUGACAUAACUUUUAGAGAUGUUAUGAGAACGGUUAAUGACGGAAAUUAUCAAAAACCUUUUGGGGGAAGGUUGUGGUUUUGGGAGGUGAUUUCAGGUAAAUAUUGUUAGUGGUAAAAAAAGGAUUAAGAUAUGAUGUUGUGAAGUCAACAAUCAACUUUUCUCAUUUGUGGUUAAAUUGUCGAGUCUUAAAACUUUCUCAAGGAAAUCCAACACGAUCUAUUGAUUGAGCCCACAAAAACACCUUUGUUAUCAUUGGUGAAUUUUGUUUAUCCUAAUUUAUUGACUGAUAUGUUAUGUCCUGAGUACUUUGAGUAUGGAGCAAUACUUUGUCCGACAACUGAAUCAGUAGAGCAAGUGAAUGAUUUUAUUUUAUCUCUGUUAAGUGGUAAAUAAAUAAAUUAUCUUAGUUCGGAUACACCUUGCCAAUUAGAUUAAGAUCAAGAAUUUAAAGUGAAUGGUUCACUUCUGAGUUCUUAAAUGAGAUAAAAUGUUCAGAGAUACUAAAUCAUCGCCUUCAUUUGAAAAUUGGCGUGCCUAUUAUGCUUUUGAGAAAUAUUGAUCAAACCAACGGUCUUUGUAAUGGAACAAGGUUGCAAGUUAUUGAUUUGAAGAAAAUGUUAUUUGUGCAAUAGUUCUAACAGGAACAAAUAUUGGUGAUAAAAUCUUUAUUUCAAUAAUGAAUUUGAUCCCUUUAGAUGUAGGUAUGCCAUUCAAAUUCUAGAGAAGACAAUUUCCAAUAACUUUAUGUUUUGCAAUGACAAUUAAGAAAAGUCAAAGUCAAUUAUUGACCAAAGUUGGUUUAUAUUUUUCACGUCCAAUUUUCACACAUUGAUAGUUGGAUGUAGCUAUUUAUAGAGUUAGAAAGAAAAAAAUUUAAAAAUUCUAACUCUUGAUGAAGAUGGGAAUGCAACAAACAAGAAAAAGAAAAUGUUUACACUGAAACUUUUGACAAUAUUUAAAAACAAUAGAAUUAUAUGAUAAACUUGGAAUAAUGGCUAAUUCUCCCUGCACCCAAUAUUUUUGAACAUGCAACUUUUAAAUUUGCUCCCUUGUAAUUAUAUUUUCUUAUGUGUGAUGUAGUAACAGUUGCCUUAUUUAAAAUGUUACUAAAUAACAUAUCAUUUAUAUCUGUUAUUUUUAUUCUGUUCUGAUUUUAUAUAUAUGUUAACGAAGUUGAGAAUUUUCUGAUUUUACAGGUCCAUGCACAAACCUAAUAUAAUGAUAUGAUAUUCAAUAUCAAGAGGUACUUGUCGUAAAACGGGGAAUAUGAGAGACUCCAUAGAAUGAAGAAAAAGUAUAAAGAGGAUUUACAAAUUACCCUUUCAAAUGCAGCUCCUCAGAAUUUCUUAAUGCCUUCACUGCAAAUGCAACCCAAAUAAGCUAAAGAAGUUAAUCAAACUAUACAUUAAGAGUUUCAAGAAAAUGAAACUCUGGAACAACAGAGCAACCCAUCUCAUGCUCAAUAGAAACAUCAAACUAUAUCUAACAAUAACUUAGAAAUCUUUGUCAACAAUUGAACGAACCCACUCCUAAAAUGCCAUUGAAAAUGUAAAUAAAUAAAUAAAAAUUAAAAAUGAGAAUUCAUAAUAAAAUUUCAUCGUGUUGAAACUUGUAAUUUAGAAGUAUUACGAUAAGCCAGUUUUGAUCCUCGCGAAUGAAAGACUAAUUAGCAGAAAGACUGUGCAAAAUUCCUUCCACUGGAUUCUUCGAUGUCAACUGAUUUGGUAUAAAGAGGACAUAUGCCGCAUUCUUUUAUUGUGAUAACUGAUUUCAACUCUCUCACAAGUAAUUUGCGAUUUGACCGAUUUGGCCGCAGAAAGGGAUCAUCAUAAUCAUGCGAACUGAUCUCAAAAGUGAAGCUGCGAGCAUCACACAGCCUAAGGCUCAUGCCGCUUGCCCUUAGGGACUCCAAGUUAAAUUUCCACACCAAUGUGUGAUCUUUAUCAACACCUCUCUCUUCAUCAUCCCAUCUGAAAUAGUUGUUUAACACAUCAUUAUUUGGAAUUAUCCGUGUGCCAUGAUCAUCAGAUUCAAAUUUUAGGCUGUAACCAAAGGAACCAUAUCUACCUUUAACAACUUUCGUAUCUAACACUUCAAAAACCACACACAAAGCGAAACCACUGAGCCUAUCAUCGCUUAAAAAACUUAAAUCUUCAUUUAUAGUCACUGAAUGUCCCUUCCCACGAAAAUGGAACCAACCAGGAACUGCACUCCCUGGAAAACAGAAGAACACACACCUAUAUCUAUCGUCGGUCAUCCUAAGCCUUGCAUCCUCCUCAAUGUUAGCACGACCACCUGAAUCCAGUUGUUGAGCAUUGGUCAAAAGAAAUUUGAAGAAACCCUCUUUGGAAUUUGACAAGUUUGGAACAAGAGAAUUGGACAUCACUCUUCUAAUGGAUGGGCAAUCCAAUGCCACUAGUUUUUUUAGAAAUGGUGGAAUCUCUGGGAUGCAUUCAAGCUUUUUGCAGUCGCUUAAAUCAAGCGAUUUCAAGCUUGAAAGAUGAGCAACGCUCUCAGGAAGGUUCACAAUUCCGCUAUCACACAGUGACAGUUCCAUUAAUGACGUCAAGCGACCGAUAUCUCUAGGGAUUUCUGUUAAUCUGGCACACCCCGAACAAUCAAGUUUAGAGAGAAGCUUGAGAUUAACAAUGGAGUUUGGAAGUGACUCCAGAUCAGUGCAUUUGCGGAGCUCCAGGGAUCGAAGAUUAACCAAAUUGGCAAAUGAGGAAGGCAGUUCUUUAACAGCCGUACAUAUCAAGUUAAUGUGAUCAAAAGUAGGAGCCGGCUCUGUGAUCUCUGGGAAGGUCCUCAGACUUGAGCAACCACACAAAUCAAGGUUCCUCAACUUCAAAUUGAAAAUGGUGCUUGGAAAAGUUUGUAGUGAACUACAGUGGGUAAGGUCUAACUUGCAUAGUCUGGUGAGGCUUCCAAUGGAAGAUGGAAUAAUCUCAAGAUUGAAGCAACUGCACAAACUCAGUUGUUGAAGCCCUACCAAACGGCACAAGGAUGAAGGUAGUGCCUGUAUGGCUGUGUCGUCUAAGAUGAGCACCACUAGAUCUUCCAACGUGUCCUGAAUCUGGGGUAAAUUUUCCAAUUUUGAGCAACCACGGAGUGAAAGUUGCUUUAGGAACUUCAUAUCAGAAAGGUCAAAUGGAAAGAUUGUAAGGGAAGAACAGUGAGAGAGAUCUAAGUGACAGAGCCUCUUGAGAUUUUGAAAGUUUGAGGGUACACCUUCGAGUAUUGUCGACACUUCACAUUGUGAGUAUAUAGUAUUAUUACCCACUUCUUCUUCGUUAUAUCUGUCAAAACUAAUUGAGGAAAUUUCACUGGAAGUUGGGAAAAUACCUUUAGCAUUAUGGAAUUUAACAGUCCCUCCCAAAAGUAAACUUGAGAAAGUUGGACGUUGACCCUCCAGUUUCACAUGAAGGUAUCUGGGUUGACUGGUUGAAAACAUUUCAAGCUCCUCACAGUGAGAAAGAAUGAUCAAUCCUGGAGAUGUGGAUAAAAUCUUGUUGGGAAUAUUUACACUUUUGAGAUGAUAACAAUGAUCUAAACAUAAACAACUGAGCUUGCUGAGGAAUAUCGAAGAGUGAACUUUAAUCAACUUUUGACAAUAACUCAGAAUUAGUUCUUCAAUAUUCGGUGACAGAGAAAGGUCUGGUAUUCUAGUAAGUUUCAGAGAAUGACUCAGGUUGAGCCUUUUCAAGUUGGGUAAAUUCUGCCACAAAAAGUAAAUGAAUCAGGUAACAAUGAAAAACUAAAAUAAAGUUUUAUGCAAUUUUAUCUAUUUUUCUUCGGUAAACUAUGAGCUACAUCAUCUAUCGAGUUUAUAUUUUACAUAAAACCACUGUUAAAAAAAUCACACUGUUAACUAACAAAAUUAUGGUCACUAUAAAUUUUAUAGUUAUUAUAAAAAUUCACAAAAUUUAACGUGUUUUUGUUCUCUACCUAAAAUUACAUCCUAAUAAUUUGAACCUAAGCUUAUUAUGUAUUGAAAAACUUACUAUAGUAAUUUAUAAUCCAUGACAAUGUCGAAAUACUUUAUACUAUGCAUGUUAAAAUUUGAUAAAAUGUCGAAAUACUGACAAAAUAAAAAUGGUGUUUUCCGAGAGUUAAAAUUAAACUUUAGUUAAAAUAAGUCCAUCUUUACAUAUUUUAUAAUUUGUUGUAUAUUAUAUUGAAGUUGAUGUUAUAAUAAAAAAAUGACUUAAUUAAUCGAAAAAUGUGGAGAAAACACAAAGAAAUUGCAAAUGCUUGUAUAAUUUAUUUUUAUCUUUGAAAGUUUAAAAGACAAAGGAACAUAGAUAACUUGAAAAACCUGAUCUCCUUCCCAGAGUUGUUCAAGACGGCAGCCUGGCAUUUCGAGGAUCACUAGAUUUUGUGGGCAAAAGUUUGGAGGCCAAAAUCUUUGCGGGAAAUCUCUCCAAUAAAGAAACUUUAGAGUGUCUGGCAGACCUACGAGAGAUGAUUCAAGAGACACAUUUGAUAUGUAUUCAGUUGAGUAGAGUAAAAACGUCCAAAGAUCAUCCAACUCUUUACGAGACACAUCUGAUAUGUAUUUAGUUUUAUUUUGCUCGUAUCUAGUAAUAUACACUGUAUUGCAUCUGACCCCUGAAAGUAAAUCAAUGUAAUUAGAAGAAAAAAACAUGAAAUGUUGCAUUGCAGGAUGUUUGAUGACAGCUCAGUGGUUUGCAAUUUUUCACAAAGUAAAUUAAUGACAGGUCAGUAGUUAUAUACCUUAUUCUUUCUUAAAACCUCACAAAUUUCCUCAGCAUUAAACAAUCGGCUGCGUUUUCCAGGAUGCUGAGGACACUCUUUACGAACAAUUUCUUUACCCAUUUCUUCUAUUAGAUCGUGCAUCACAAUUCUACCAUCAAUGACAGAUAUUAGGCCCCUAUCUUUCAGAAUAUCCAUUCCAAUCUUAGAAGAGAAACCAAAGUCAUCAAGUCUUUCUGCUACCUCAAUCUCCUCGUGACCUCUAUAAAAGCAAGCUAUGUCAAGAAAUAUAUUCUUCUCCUCCUCCUCCAGCCCAUCAUAACUUAAUUUUAAUACAUUGAAAAUACCAAGAUGUUGGCCCUUUUUCAACUUUUGCAACUCACUCUCCCAUGCUUCUCUUGUUCUGCCAUAAAGCAAUGACCCCAAAAUCUGGAGAGCUAACGGAAUCCCUUUUGCAUAUCUCAACACCUUUUCUGACAGGUCCAUGUAAGAUUUUUCUGCUGAAGAUUUUUGUUUAAAAGCAUGUAAACUAAAAAGUUUAUGAGAAUCAUCAAAAUUCAACUCCUUAACCUCGUAGAUAUCAUCAGCUCCAGCAUUUCUAAGCACUUGUCUGUCUCUACUGGUCAUAAUGAUUCUACUGCCCUGCCCAAAACUACCACUCCCUCCUAUUAAUUUUUUAAGUAUAGCUGAAUCGGUAACAUCAUCAAGAAUGAGGAUAGCCUUUGUCCGUUUGAGCCUUUCAUUGUAAUAUGAUAAAUCAGGGGAUUUCUUUAUCUCUUCCUUUAGAAGCACAGACAGAUAUUUUCUUCUGAUACUGUCUAUUCCAUCUCUUUGUAUUUUUUCUUGAACGUCUAAAACAAGGCUGCUGGAAUCAAACUGCACUGCCAAUUUCUGAUAUAUUUGAUUACAAAUUGUAGUUUUUCCUAUUCCUCCCAUGCCACAAAUUCCUAUGAUCCGAACAUCCGUUGACUCAAGAUGCAACAAGGACUGAAUUCCUUCAAUAUUUUUUUCAAUGCCGAUGAUUCCUUGAUCAUAACUGGUGGAAUAACGAUUCAAUUUUCUCAAAAUAUCUUCCACAAUUUCUUCAACAAGUGCGUGUUCUGGCCUGGCAGAUGAUUUAGAAAAUAAAGUAUAAGUAUUCAAGCACAAAAGCUAAAGUAAACUAAAGAAAAAUUUUACAGUAACCGUUUGUGACUUCUGAUACUAGGGAGCAGACUUGUAGGUACAAAGUUAAACUAUAAGAUCAGAUAUGGUUCAGAUCCAUGACCGACUAAGAGAAAUGAAAAAAGAAACACUUGAUUUAUGGUGAGAUGAACACAAUUUUAGUAAAUGAAAAGAGAUCCUGAUUAUCUAACAAAUAUAAUGACCUGGUGACUUUUGAAUCCCAGCCUGCAAGUUUAGCAGCUUCAGUUAGAGCAUCCUUCCAUCCUUGCACUUUAUCGUGCUUAAGGUGCUGCUCAUGCUUUUCGAAUGCUUCAUUGUAUCUUUGUUCCUGCUUCCUAAUAGUUGAUGGAUCCACCUUGUAGAAAACAGGUAUGACAUCCCUUCCAAAUCUCUUCUUGCAUUCAAGUAUCUUAGUGAGUUCAUUCAAGCACCAAGUGGAAGAUGCAUAGUCUUGGGAGAAAACGAUGACAUAAAUCUUUGAUUCUUCUAUUGCAGAGAGGAGAGCAGGUGAAAUUUCUUCGCCCCUGUUUAAUCUGUAAUCAAUAUACGCUUCAAUGUUCUUCCUCUGCAGCGCUGCAUAAAGGUGACUAAUGAAGUUGUCACGUGUGUCUUCCCCUCUGAAGCUGAGAAACACAUCAUGCUUUGUUAGAGAAGUAGACACGGGGAAUGAUGAAGAACUUCCUGACAUUGGAAUCAAUUUUCUCUCCUUUCUCUGCAAAUCUCAGAUUCCUUUGUUUGUACCAUUUCUACCUGAAGAAGUGUUUAAAUUUUCUCAAAAUACCUUGCACAGCGUGUUCUGGUCAGACAUAAAGAAAAAGACAAAUAUUAAGUUAAUAGAAUAGUCAACAAUUUAAAAAAUAAGUAUGAAAUAUAGAUAUAUAUCAUUAUCACGUGUGGAAGCUACGUCGUCUUGUAUUGGAUUUUCUAAUCUGCCUUUUAUCUUGUCUCAUUCUUCUUUAUCUUUUUUCUCUCAUCUCUCUUGCUUACGAUUUCUUUGCCUUUAUUCAGAAAUUUUAUUUAUAAUAAACCUUCAAUAAUAUUUGUACUUUCUAGCAUAUAGAAUACUUAAUGGAUCCUUUUCUGAUUUUUCUUUUCUAAAGUGCAAUUGAUAUUUUAAAUGUUUUUCUAUUUAAUUUUCCUUUCUUAAUGACACAUAAAAUGGUUCAGUGCACAAUUAAUUACUCUCACCUUAGAUUUCAUUCAUCUCAUUCCAUUUCCACACUCAAAUCAUUCUCACAUUUGUUUCUACCUGUUUCACAAAGUUUUAGUUAAAAUAUGGAAAUUAAUGUUCAAGAACCCUACUUAAUAUUAAUAUUCAACAAUUUAAAAUAUUAAAAUGCAAAUUAAUCUUUCUUAAUAAUGUCAUUUUUAUGUAAAAAAUAAAAUGUAGUUUAGUCAUUUAUACUUAGAUGGAUAAAGAUGGUUUUAGAAAAAAAAAUGCAUUUUAUUUCAAAGGUUAUCUAAGCUCUGAACUCAUUUAUGAAUUAAUAAUAAUAAAUAAUAUGUAAUUGUAUUCCAAUACCAUAUAAUUUUUUUUAUUGGGUGCGUUUCUGAUGAAUUAAUUAAUGCACUCUAGGGACAAUGAUCGCUCUAGUAUUUGAUUUUUUUAUUUAUUUUAAUGUUGAAAUUAUAGCUAUUUAGUACAGAUACUAUUGACACCGACACAGAUACGACACAGACACAGAGAUACUUAAAAUCUCUAAAAUGUAAGAUACAGAGACAUUAAUCUAUAUAUUAUAUAAUUAUGAAUUAUAUAAAUUAACAAUAAAGACUUAUGUGCACAAGUAUUUUGGAGAUUAUUUUUUAAGCAGAAAUAUGUUUUUCAUGACUGUUUCACAAAGAUUUGUUUCUUAUUUUUAUAAUCAUAAUAACAAUUUAUACCAUAAAGUUUGAAUUUUAGAAAAUUAAUGUAUUUUUUCUUUUUAAAAUUCCGUUAGAAUCGUACUAAAAUUGUAAAAAAUCUAACAAAUACAUUUUGAAUUGGACAUUUCACAAAUACAUGUCCUACCAGUAUCAUACGAAUGUAAACAAAAUUCUUUCUUCAUAUGCCGCAUUCUUUUACUGUGAUAACUCAUUUCAACUCUCUCACAACUGAUUCGUAAUCUGUGGGAUGCAUUAAAGCCUUUUGCAGUUAAAUCAAUAGUAUAUGAUGAUGUGAAUGUUAUUUAUAUACUAAAUAUAAUCACAUAGUAACUUCAAAUUUGAUAAGGUACAACAUGUUACCAUAUCUCUUUUAAUUUCUUUUAUUUCAUUAUAUAUUUAGGUGUAUUUAAUUUCUUUUUAUUUCAUUGUGUAUUUAGGUGUAUUACGUAAAAUAUAUAAUUAAAAAGAAAGAAGAAUAAUGUUAUUUUUAAAUUUAAAGAAUGACAUAUAGAAAUAAACAAGCUAUUUUGAAAUUUUUAGAUUUUACAAAACAUUACAUUUUGAUUUUAAUAUUUAUAAAAUAUUUUUUAAUUUCAUAUUUAAAACACAACACUUAGUUGAGUGUGUUCCUUAGUUACUUACCAAAUAACAACAUACAUCUUAUCGGGUCUUUUUGCGACCCGACCCAAACUCAUCUCGAUCCUAGUAGGGUUCGCAUCAUCUUCAAUUGAGGAGUAGAUUUGUCAGGAGGAAAAUAAAUUGAUUUAUAAGAACAUGUGAAGUUGUUUAGAUUGAGGAAUAAUAGAUGGAUUUUGAUUAUGAUUUAUGGUAAGUUUAAAAAAAAUAGAUUUGUUUCUUUUAACAUUUUUUGUAUUAUAAUUAUUUGCUGGCUGAAUUGUUUUGAGUUAACAUGUUUUCUUGGGGUAUGAUAUUGUGAGGUUUUAUUACAUGCAGGUACGUGAAUAUUUUUUUUAUUCUAGUUGUAUAAAUCAGGAAAAAAUGUUUUUCACAAUAUAAUUAUAAUAACCGUUUAACAACCUAAAUAAUAAUAAAAUAUUAACUCAUAUUAUUUAAUUAAAUUAUUAAAUAAAAAGUAGUAAAACUGAUUGUAGGAUGGGAAUAUGAUUAUUUUUAACUGCUAGCUCCUCAUUAUUCUUUUAUAAUAAAAAACACACUAGUAGGUGUUGAAAAUCGUAAUAUAACAAACAAGUUUUGACACACGUAGGUUUGGCAAUUGUUUUAAUAGCUGAAAAUAGUAAAACAAUUUUUAAUUACCACAAACUGCAUCUUAAAUCAUAAAAAAUAGCAUUUUUUAGUUCAUAUAUAAUAACAUUUCCAUAAAUAAAUCUCCCGCCGCCAUUGAUAUUAAUCAUUAAUAAUUUUAGAUAAUAUUUUUUACUAUAAAACAUUUAAUUGAGAUUGAAUUUUUAAUUCACACUUUUUGGUCAAAGAAUAAUAUAUUUCAUUUUUUUAUUUAUUAAAUAUUUUGUAUAAUGCUGAGAAAAAAAAAUCUCACACACACACACACAUAUAUAUAUAUAUGAUCCCUAUGUCCUACAAGUACAAUAUAACAUCGUUAGUAUAAUGAAUAAAAAUAAUGAGUAUUCAAAGUCGUGUAUUUACGUAAAAGAAUAACAUGAUUUUUAAAAGAACUCACAUUAUCAGUUUAAAUUUUGACGAUAAAAUACAUUAAUUAUAUAUAUUUAUUCAAAAUUUCAAUUAUAUUAUGCAUUAAUGGUUUUAUGCUUUUAGAGGAAUCAGAGAAACUUAGAAAAGCUUAAUGAAACCCUAUGAAUAAAGGAGAUGUAAAAGAAAGAGAAAAAGGAAGUGAGAAAAGAUGAUAAUUAAUAAACACCCACUCUUCAUAACAUAGAGUCUUUAAACCUAUAUUCCCUCAAACAGCAUUUAUAAGUUAUUAUCACCCACAUGGAAUAAGGUGCCUCAAUGUGAACAAACCAAGAUCAGUAAGAAAUAUGAGGUUCAAAUAACGAAGCUGAGAAUUUUCUGGUUUUACAGCUCCAUGCACAAACCUAAUACAAUGAUAUGAUAUUCCAUAGGAUGGAGAAAAGUAUGAUAUGAAGAGGAUUUACCAAUUACCCUUUCGAAUGCAGCUCCUCAGGAUUCCAUCAUGCCUUCACUGCACAUGCAACCCAAAUAUGCUAAAGAAGUUAAUCAAACCCAAAUAUAAAGAAUUUCUAGAGAAUGCAACUCUGGGACAACAGAGUACCCCAUCUCAAGCUGAACAGAAACAUUAAACUAUAUCUAACAAUAACUUAGAAAUCUUUGUCAACAAUGAACGAAUCCAACCGUAAAAUGCCAUUGAAAAUGUAAAUAAAACAAAAUAAAUUAGAUAUGAGAAAUUCAUGAUAAAAUUUCAACACUUGUAAUGUAGAAGCAUUACGAUAAGCCAGUUUUGAUCCUCACCAAUGAAAGUCUAAUUAGCAGAAGAGGAAGAGACUAGUUGACUGGGUAGCUUUCUGCAAUGCCUAUUUUAAGGUUACGCUUCCGGCAAAAAUAUAAUAGAAGACUGCUCUCAUGUCAAAGUUUCUCAUACAUAGAACAACCCGCAAAAGAGAUUAAACAUUCCAAAAGAUGUCUCAACAGAAAUGAAAUGAGAUCCUAACAACUUGUUGGGAAAGUACUAUUUUGCCUUCAAUUCCAUUACUUCCUUUUGCCUUUAAGAGUGCAGUCAUAAUCAUCAAAAUACUUAGACUUUGUGAUAUGUCUUUUGGGCUUGCUAUUCAUCUUUUGUUGCCUCCUCUUGAGCCAUAACACUUUUGGCCUUCCUCUUCCUAUAUUCCCUUGUGUCUCUUGAAGACUGUGCAACAUUACUUCGACUGGAUUAUUCAAUGUGAACAGCACCACCAUAUUCAUCAUCUUUCUUUUUGGAAUAAAGAGGGCAUAUGCCGCAUUCUUUUACUCUGAUAUCGGGCCACCAAUGGCUGAUCUCAAAAGUGAAGCUGCGAGCAUCACAGAGCCUAAGGCUCAUGCCGCUUGCCCUUAGGGACUCCAAGUUAAAUUUCCACACAAAUGUGUGAUCUUUAUCAAGAAAUCUGCCUGCAUCCGUCAAGUUUAACACAUCAUUAUUUGGAAUGAUCUGUGUGCCAUCAUCAUCAGAUUCAAAUUUUAGGCUGUAACCAAAAGAACUAUAUCUACCUUUAAUAUCAUUCGUAUCUAACACUUCAAAAACCACGCACAAAGAGAAACCAGUGAGCCUAUUAUCGCUGCAAAAACUUAAAUCUUCAUUUAUAGUCACUGAAUGUCCCUUCCCACGAAAAUGGAACCAACCAGGAACUGCACUCCCUGGAUAACAGAAGAACACAGACCUAUAUGCAUCGUCGGUCAUCCUAAGCCUUGCAUCCUUCUCAAUGUUAGCACGACCACCUGAAUCCAGUUGUUGAGCAUUGGUGAAAUGAAAUUUGAAUACACCCUCUUUGGAAUUUGAGAGGUUCCGAACAAGAGAAUUUGACAUCACUUUUCUAAUGGAUGGGCAAUCCAAUGCCACGAGUUGUUUUAGAAAUGGUGGAAUCGGUGGGAUGCAUUCAAGCUUUUUGCAGUCGCUUAAAUCAAGCGAUUUCAAGCUCGAAAGAUGAGCAAUGCUCUCAGGAAGGUUCACGAUUCCGCUAUCACGCAGUGACAGUUCCAUUAAUGACGUCAAACGACCAAUGUGCCUUGGGAUUUCUGUUAAUUUGGCACACCCCGAACAAUCAAGUUUAGAGAGAAGCUUCAGAUUAACAAUGCAGUUUGGAAGUGACUCGAGAUCAGUGCAUUUGCGGAGCUCCAGGGAACGAAGAUUAACGAAAUUGGCAAAUGAGGAAGGCAGUUCUUUAACAGUCGUAGAUGUUAAGUUAAUGUGAGCAAAAGUAUGAGCCGACUCCGUGAUCUCUGGGAAGGUCCUCAGCCUUGAGCAACCACGCAAAUCAAGGUUCCUCAACUUCAAAUUGAAAAUGGUGCUUGGAAAAGUUUGAAGUGAAUUACAGUGGGCAAGGUCUAACUUGCAUAGUCUGGUGAGGCUUCCAAUGGAAGAUGGAAUAAUCUCAAGAUUGAAGCAACUGUGCAAACUCAGUUGUUGAAGCCCUACCAAACGGCACAAGGAUGAAGGUAGUGCCUGUAUGGCUGUGUCGUCUAAGAUGAGCACCGCUAGAUCUUCCAACGUGUCCUGAAUCUCGGGUAAAUUUUCCAGUUUUGAGCAACCACUGAGACAAAGUUGCUUUAGGAAUUUCAUAUCAGAAAGGUCAAACGGAAAGAUUGUAAGGGAAGAACAGUCAGAGAGAUCUAAGUAACAGAGGUUCUUGAGACUUUGAAAGUUUAAGGGCACACCUUCCAAGAGACUGUUGAACACCUCUGAGUCUUCUGAGUCUGUAGCAUUAUUAGCCACUUCUAUAUUAUAUCUGUCAAAAGUAAUUGACAAAAUUUCACUGCUUGGGGAAAUUUCACUGGAAGUUGGGAAAUUUAUCUCUUUCGUCAUAUCCAGUUCCUGACGCUCCAGUAUGACAUGAGGGAGAAAUUUAUCUUCAUGUUUACUGAUUGAAAACAUAUUAAGCUUCCGACAAUGGGAAAGAGUAAUCCAUCCUGGUGAUGUGGAUAAAAUGUUGCUCGGAAUAUUUACACUAUUCAGAUCAUCACAAUGAUCUAAACAUAAACAACUGAGUUUGCUGAGGAAUAUCGAAGAGUGAAUUUCAAUCAACUUUUUACAAUAACUCAGAAUUAUUUUUUCAAUAUUUGGUGACAUAGAAAGGUCUGGUAUUCUAGCAAGUUUCCAAGAACGUGUCAGGUCGAGCCUUUUCAAGUUGGGUAAAUUCUGCCACAAAAAGUAAAUGAAUCAGGUAACAAAUAAUAACUACUUUAUCUAUUUUUCUUCCUAUUUAAACUAUUAGCUACUACUAUUGAGUUUAUAUUUUACAUUACUUAAAAACCACUGUUAAAAAAGCCACACUGUGGACUAACAAAAUUAUAUUUUAAAAUAUUAUUAAAGAUAAAAUAUGAAGAUAGGGUAAUUAAAUUAAAUAUAAUUUUUAUUUUUCAGAAAUGAUGAAAAUUAUAAUUAAAUUAACUAAAUUAUAUAAAAUUCCAUUUUAUUUACAUAACUCCUUUUCAUAUUAAAAAACUAUAUAAGAUCUUGAAACUAUAAUUAAUAUCUUAAAAAUUUAAAUAAUAAUAAUUAUUUCUACUCAUCCUUAAUUUUUGUUGGUGAAAUCUUGAUUUUUGGGAUAAUAUCACUUAAACUUAAGAAAUAUUUGACAUUAAUGAACUCUAAACAAAUUUAUAUAAGAAAUCAAGACAUCACUUUCAAUCCGAAAUCUUAAACUAAUAGGUUUAUGGAUUUUCUUUAUAUGUUGUUCAUCUUACCAAUUUGAACCCAAUGCGAGACUUUCAACUCUAAGAGAUGAAGUGGUGUACUUUAUGCUUCUAGGACUUGUUAGAUAUUGAAACAUGUACCAUUGCUAAAAUGUUUGAAUGAAGGAGAAGUCAAAGUCUCUCUCCUUUAGAGAUAUUCGCUCAAGUGGCAAGAGGUUGAUUAAGCAAGAGAGAGAUCGUAUUAAUUCUCUCUUCUAUGCAAUUGUUGUCGUUCAAACAAUGUGGAAUCAUUCAAGCAAAGAAAUCUUCUUUUGGGUUAGGAAACAAGGUUUUUCAAGCGAGAUAAACUCGUCUAAAGAAUUUAACUCUAGUAGUGAAAUGUUGUUGCCAUGAUUUAGCCAAGUGUUUGUAUCUAUGAGGCUAAUGAUGAUGAUGACGAUGAUAAGAUGCAUGAAUGUGUAUACACAAGUGUAUGAUAUACCUCAUGUUAUAUAUUGUAUGUGAUUCAAUUGAUGACCAUUUAUUUUUAGGCCAUUUAUAUGUAUAUUUUGGCCCUUUUAUGAGUAUGUGACGAGAUAUACCUAAGAUUGUAUUAUGAUCCUAAUGAGUCGAAGUAUCAAACACAAAACUCAUUAUGGAAAAAAAAAGAUAUUUUGUGCAUCAGUUAUGAUAUGAUCACAACAAUUAAAGCAUGUGUGAACGGUUAAUAUUGUUCUUAAUAAGAAAACAAAUAAUAUUGUAUGUGACAUUAGAGAUGUCAAAUAGGUUUAGAAAAUUAUUAAGUUUAAUUAUCUUUUUAGUCUUUAUAUUAAUGACCAAAAGUCAAUUCAGAUUUUUAGAAAGUUCAAUAUGAUUUAAUUUUUUAAAAAACAAUUCAAUGUGAUUCCUUCUAGUAUAUUUCCCUUAUUAAAAUAUUUUUAUCUUAAUGAUUCUGCCACUGUUAAGUUAUAUGUGUUGUUAUCACAUUGAAUUGUUUUAAAAAAAUUUGGAACCACCACAUUAAAUUGUUUUAAAAAGUUAGUACUAAAUUGAACUUUUGAAAAUUGGGAGAAUGAAAUUAAAUUUUGUCUAUUAAUACAGGGACAAAAAAUAAUUGAAUCAAAUAUUUUACUAUUUUUGUGAUGUAUAUUUAUAUAUAAAUAAUUUUGAGAAUUUAGAGUUACAAUGUGUUAUAUCAUAUAUAUAUAAUUCUUUUUGGUAAUGUAUCCUGUAGUUGUAAGCAAGUAUGAUUAUAUUAAGUGGGGCGUUUCAAAUAGUGGAGACUACGCAUAUACAAAUAUCUCUUAUAAAGUAAGAAAACAAAACAAUCGUUACUCAAGAAGAUCAUGCAAUGCAUCACAGACAACAUGGGAGAUAUAUAUCAACAAUAAUAUGAGUAAAUAAUACAUUCAUGGGCCAUUAGACGAUAUGCCUAAAAAAAAUAUGCAAACUAUUAAAUUUAUAAUUAUUUUUAAUUAGAAACAUGCUGAGUAUGACUCUUAUGAUAUAUGUAUAACUGUGUGCUUCAAAUAAAAGAAAUUUCAAAUCGAAUAAUGUGGAGAAGGCACAAAGGAAUUGCAAAUGAAAACCUGUAGAUGUAUAAUACACAAAACAUGCUUGUCUAAUUUAUUUUUAUCUUUGAAAGUUUAGAACACAAAGGAACAUAGAUAACUUGAAAAACCUGAUCUCCUUCCCAGAGUUGUUCAAGAUCGCAGUAUGGCAUUUCGAGGAUCACUAGAUUUUGUGGGCAAAAGUUUGGAGGCCAGAAUCUUUGAAGGAAACCGUUCCAAUAAAGAAACUUUAGAGUGUCCGGCAGACCUACAAGAGAUGAUUCAAGAGACACUUUUGAAUUCAAUCUAGGCAUGUAGACCAUAAGCAUCAUAAGAUUGUCCAUCUUUUCGAAACUUUGUGCAUGUACUACAGCAUCUUUUACUUUGUUCGUAUGAUAUUGAUAUACACUGUAUUGCAUCUGACCCCUGAAAGUAAAUCAAUGUAAUUAGAAAAAAAAACAUGAAAUGUUGCAUUUCAGGAUGCUUAAUGACAGCUCAGUAGUUUUCUAUUUUUCACAAAGUAACAACAGCAUAUACCUUGUUCUUUCUUAAAACCUCACAAAUUUCCUCAUCAUUAAACAAUCGGCUGCGUUUUCCAGGAUGCUGAGGACACUCUUUACGAACAAUUUCUUUACCCAUUUCUUGUAUUAGAUCGUGCAUCACAAUUCUACCAUCAAAGACAGAGAUUAGACCCCUAUCUUUGAGAAUAUCCAUUCCAAUCUUAGAAGAGAAACCACAGUCAUCAAGUGUUUCUGCUACCACAGUCUCCUCUUGCCCUCUAUAAAAGCAAGCUAUGUCAAGAAAUAUAUUCUUCUCCUCCUCCUUGAGCCCAUAAUAACUUAAUUUUAAUACGUCGAAAGUUCCAAGAUCUUGGCCGUUUUCCAACUUUUGCAACUGACUCUCCCAUGCUUCUCUUGUUCUGCCAUAAAGCAAUGACCCCAAAAUCUGGAGAGCUAACGGAAUUCCUUUUGCAUAUCUCAACACCUUUACUGACAGGUCCAUGUAAGCAAUUCCUUCUGAAGAUUUUUGUUUAAAAGCAUGUAAACUAAAAAGUUUCAGAGAAUCAUAAAAAUUCAACUCCUUAACUUCGUAGAUAUCAUCAGCUCCAGCAUUCUUAAGCACUUGUCUGUCUCUACUGGUCAUAAUGAUUCUACUGCCCUGCCCAAAACUAUCACUCCCACCUAUUAAUUUUUGAAGUUGAGUUGAAUCGGUAACAUCAUCAAGAAUGAGGAGAACCUUUGUCCGUUUGAGCCUUUCAUUGUAAUAUGGUAAAUAAGAGGAUUUCUCUUCCUUUAGAAGCUCAGACUGAUAUUUUGUUCUGAUACCGUCUAUUCCAUCUCUUUGUAUUUUUUCUUGAACGUCUAAAACAAGGCUGCUGGAAUCAAACUGCAAUGCCAAUUUCUGAUAUAUUUGAUCACAAAUUGUAGUUUUUCCUAUUCCUCCCAUGCCACAAAUUCCUAUGAUCCGAACAUCCGUUGACUCAAGAUGCAACAAGGACUGAAUUCCUUCAAUAUUUUUUUCAAUGCCGAUGAUUCCUUGAUCAUAACUGGCGGAAUAACGAUUCAAUUUUCUCAAAAUAUCUUCCACAAUUUCUUCAACAAGUGCGUGUUCUGGCCUGGCAGAUGAUUUAGAAAAUAAAGUAUAAGUAUUCAAGCACAAAAGCUAAAGUAAACUAAAGAAAAAUUUUACAGUAACCGUUUGUGACUUCUGAUACUAGGGAGCAUACUUGUAGGUACAAAGUUAAGCUAUUGUGUGAUAUGGUUCAGAUCUAUGACCGACUAAUAGAAAUGAAAAAAGAAGCACUUGAUUUAUGGUGAGAUGAACACAAUUUUAGUAAAUGAAAAGAGAUCCUGAUUAUCUAAUAAAUAUAAUGACCUGGUGACUUUUGAAUCCCAGCCUGCAAGUCCAGCAGCUUCGGUGAGAGCAUCCUUCCAUCCUUGCACUGUGUCGUGCUUAAAGUGCUGCUCAUGCUCAUUGAAUGCUUCUUUGUAUCUUUCUUCCUGCUUCCUAAUAGUUGAUGGAUCCACCUUGUAGAAAACAGGUAUCACAUCCCUUCCAUAUCUCUUCUUGCAAUCAAGUAUCUUAGUGAGUUCAUCCAAGCACCAUGUGGAAGAUGCAUAGUUUUUGGAGAAAACGAUGACAUAAAUCUUUGAUUCUUCUAUUGCAGAGAGGAGUACAGGUGAAAUUUCUUGGCCCCUGAGUAAUCUGUAAUCAAUAUAUGCUUGAAUGUUCUUCCUUUGCAGCGCUGCAUAAAGGUGACUAAUGAAGUUGUCACGUGUGUCUUCCCCUCUGAAGCUGAGAAACACAUCAUGCUUUGUUAAAGAAGCAGACAUGGCCAAUGAUGAAGGGUUUCAAUGUUCUCUGCAACUCUCAGAUCCCUUUGUUUGUAAGCAACUUCCAUAUAUUCUAUUAGGAAGGAAAAUAUAUAUUUCUACCAUUCCUACCACAAAUUGAAAAAGCCUUUCAAUUUUCUCAAAAUAUCUUUCACAGCUGUGUUCUGUCAGAUACGAAACAUUGAGUCAAUGGAAGAGUCAACAAUUGGCAGAAUAUUAUGGUGUGUAGCUUUAUACCAUUCUUACAAUAUUUGAUUGGUUGAAUAUAUACAAUAUGACUAAUGAACUUUUUUCUUUUCCGUAUUCCACGAUAAUUCCCUAGGCACCCUAUUAUACACUUUCUUAUCAACGGAAACCAUGUCUGUCCUUUUAUAGUUUUAAUCCUAUAAUAUCUUUCCAUUAAUCAUCAUUAUCACUCUUCAACCUUCAUAUCAAGUGUAUUGAUUUCAUACUUCAUCAGCUAGACAUAAUAAAAUCUCAAUAAUCUUUUAUACUGUCAACAUUUAUAAAAAAUAUUUCCUUCAAUAAUAUUUGUACUUUCUAGCAUAUAGAAUACUUAAUGGAUUCUUCUGUGAUUUUUCUUUCCUAAAGUACAAUUGAUAUUUUAACAGAUGCCGAAAGGUCUUGAAUAUGAGGCUGUUUCGAAAUGAAAAUUGGGGUAAAGCAUUUUCAAGUUAACAAGUUUUGUUGGGUGAGUGAGUGAUCAGUGCUAGCAUUUUCAAUCUCAGUUAUAGAAUGUAAAGAUUUACACAUUUAUUUGCUGAUUAAUAAUUUAUUUAUUGAAUUAAAUGUUUUAACAGUGAGUAUGGAUUCUUGAAUGAAUGUAAUCAUGGUGUAGAAUGUACAUAGUACAUAUAGUGAGUUGGAUUGAAAUGUUGAACACGUUUUCCUCUGCAAAGAUUCAGGAUAUUUAUGAACUUGCUAUAAAUUGUUUUAACUUUUCUCUGCAACUCUCAGUCCCUUUGUUUCUACCAUUUUGUUUUUGAAAAGCCUUUCAAUUUUCUCAAAAUAUCUUUCACUGCUGUGUUCUGUCAGAUACGAAACAUUGAGUCAAUGGAAGAGUCAACAAUUCGUAGAAUAUUAUAUUAUGGUGUCAAUAUUUAAUAAAUUUAUUUAUUUCUUUAACAUAUUUUAGAAAAUAACCAGUAAACAUAAAACUUUUAGUAUGACUAAAAGAAUAAAGAUAGUGUAAGAAUAACAGGAAUAACAUUACUACAAAUAACAAUAUAUUAAUAUUAAUAUGUUUCUUAAUAAAUUUUACACCCACUGUCUAUUUAUAAAUUAAUAUAUUAUAAACAUCUAUUGAUUUUUUGUGGGUAGCUUAUUUCUGUAACAUUUUAAAUUAAUUUUUUAGAUUUUACAAAACAUUACAUUUUGAUUAUAAUAUUUAGGACUGUGAUGCAAUUUCUGCAAUGAAGGCUGGCAGACUAAGUUUCUCCAAGCCCAAUUAAUACUGGGUUGAAAAUUCUGAGAAGAGGGUGAGUAUGAUGCUGCGGUCAUGAUCUAUGUAUUAAAGUGUUAAGGCAUGGGUUUGGUUGACAGGACAAUACUGGUUUUUCAUUGCUACUACUUAAUAUGAUUCUUUCUUACUGCUAUAUGAAUUUGCUGUCAAAUAGCAGUAAAUAAAAGACUUCAAAUAAAGCAUGUGUUUAUCAUACAUGGACUAAUGCAGCAGUUUUAGUAGAAGGGGCUAAUAUGAUUUUAAUCUAGAACAAGAUGGCUAAACCCAAAGAUGGUGGGAAUAAUAUCCUCAAAUCAAUUGUUUUGGUUUUCAGUGUAAUGUCAUUUGUAAGUAUCAAAAUUUGUUUGUUAUCACAUUGGAAGGUAGUAUCUGUCAUGAAAUUUGUGGAAGACCUUUACCUAUGUUUGCUUUGGGUCUGUUUUACGCCCUCUCGAAUUAAGUAAAUUUUUAAUUGCCAUCAUGAAAUUAGGCUAAAUAUGUGUAGUUUUGAGCACUUUCUUUCUUCCAUUUCAAUUCAUAGUUUCAUACAUAUUCAAUAUCAUGUGGGAAUUAAGUUCUUGCUUUUAAGGUGAAUAACAGUUUGUAUUCUUGCAGAAAACUAUUUUCUAAUGCAUAUAAAUUUCAUUUUCUAUUUUCAGCAUUGGAUUAUGUUAUGUAAUUUUUCCUUUGUAUUAUACAGAGUAGGAUUUUAAUGUUUCUACUGAACAGUGCUAUCUUUUUUCGUCCAUAUUCUGAUUUUGUUCAAUUUUUUUCAGUAUGUGCCACAUGCAGAUCAGAUGUAAGGAAUUUUCUAAAUUUUUUUUCAAGCUUUCUUGUUUGCUUAAAGUUUUCUGUAAGUAUUUAACUGUCUUAAGUUGUUAAUGAGGACUAAGGACUGAAAAAGAGAAUUAGCCAUGACAUGGUGGCAUUAUCCUUCUUCAAAACCAUUAGUUUUUUUUCCUACAAAGAUACAUGUCAAGAAAGCAAACCAGGAACAAAAGUGAUGUUUAUGAUUGCUUUCUCUCUUGUUUACUUGCUUUCUUUUUGUUGGACAAUUGUCUUAAUUGCAUUCACACCUAACCUGCAGUAGUUUCAGUCCCUUUGGGGUUGUCAUAAUUGCAGCCUCAAGAGUGGUGGUGUAGUCCAACAUCAACCAGUGAUAUAGUUCAAAUAUAGCAUAUACAUGAAAGUCGUGUUGAUAAUCAAAGGUUGCUUCAUCUUAACUAAUAACAUGUAAAUGUCAUUUGAAUGGUUAAAAAGGAAUUCACCAGUGUAACACAAAAUGAAUGGAUUGCUUGGUUAUGUGUCAACUGUUGUACUUUUUUUGAGUUGCUUGAAAAUAAUUAAAAUUUGUUUUCAUCUAGAUCUUGGUUUUUUCCUAUGAUCAAAUCUCGAUUUAUUUCUGUGCAGAACUUUCUUGUGGACAUAAAAGGACCAGCUAUAGCAUUUUUACCGGUGCUUGCAUUUGAAGGAGGAACUAGAAGAAAUAUACCUAGGUUUGAGGUGUGUAUAAAUUAUUUUUGAUGUAUUUCGUGAUGUAGAUGUAAAAUAAUGCAAUACUUUGUUUUUAGUUUCAAUGUUACUCUUUAUCUGCAGGUUGGAAACAUAUCUUGAUGAAAUAUAGAAACAUUUUUAUUCAUAAUAUAUAUAUAAGGAUUACACAUUCAUAAUUAUUUCUUUCUGUCGUAGCAUUGUCUACCUCAAAUCACUGCAACUUUCUGUUGUUGGUAUAAAAAUACAAUAUUUUAAUCCCAGUUUUGAUAGCCUCUAUUCUUCAGUGGUUGAGAUAUUUUUUAUAAGAAUUUAGAAGUUCUGAGAUAUUUAUGAUAAGAAUUUCAAGUUCUUUGUUACUAGCAGUUUAAUGGUUAUAUCAUUUUUGUUCUCUGGAAAAUAUCUUAUACAAAAUCGGUACUUAGAUUUGGUAUUUAUAUUGUUCAUAUGUAGAAAUCUAAUACUAGCAAAUUUUGUCUAAUUUAAAAGCAAUUACAUUCUACUCUUUGGAAUAUGUUCUGGCCUGCUUUUAUGAAUUAUUUGAAAAUUUGUAAUUAUAAAAUUUAGUCUUUGAAAUUAUAAAUUUAAUAGAGAAGCAUCCAUACUAAACUUUUAUAUUAUAAAUUGUCAGUUUUAUAUUGAAAACAUAUCCCCUUUAGUAUAAGACUUAAAGGAGAUGUCUUUUGGUAUAAAAACUGAAAUAAAAAAUAUUUUAACUAUAUGGGUCAAAUGGAUGAUUAAACUUAUAAAAUGUACAAUUAAACUUAUAAAUUAUAAUAAACGAUACUUUAAUUUUAAACUAUAUUGAACUUUUAUUAAUGUUCUCGCUUUUCUUUAAAAGCUAUUGAACUCUAUCUAACAAUAACUUAAAAAUGAGAAAUUCAUGAUAAAAUUUCAACACUUGUAAUCUAGAAGUAUUACGAUAAGCCAGAAGAGGAAGAGACUAGUUGACUGGGUAGCUUUCGGCGUUCCUCUUCCUAUCUUCCCCUGUUUCUCCUGAAGAGUGUGCAACAUUGCUUCCACUGAAUUCUUCAAUGUCAUUUUCUGAUGCAGAAUAGUCAACAGCACCACCAUAUUUAUCAUCUUUCUUUUUCGUAUAAAGAGGGCAUAUGCCGCAUUCUUUUAUUCUGAUACCUGAUUUCAACUCUCUCUCAACUGAUUCGUAAUCUGGCCGAUUUGGCCGCAGAAAGGGAUCAUACGGACUGAUCUCAAAAGUGAAGCUGCGAGCAUCACACAGCCUAAGGCUCAUGCCGCUCGCCAUUAGGGACUCCAAGUUAAAUUUCCACACGAAUGUCCCUUCACCAUCCCAUUUGAAAUAGCUAUUUAACACACCCUUAUAUGGAAUGAUCUGUGUGCCAUCAUCAUAUUCAAAUUUUAGGCUGUAACGAAAAGAACCAUAUCCACCUUUAAUAUCUAACACUCCAAAAGCUACACACAAAGCGAAACCAGUGAGCCUAUCAUCGCUGCAGAAACUUAAAUCUUCAUUUAUAGUCACUGAAUGUCCCUUCCCACGAAAAUUGAACCAACCAGGAACUGCACUCCCUGGAAAACAGAACAACACACACCUAUAUGUAUCGUCGAUCAUCCUAAGCCUUGCAUCCUCCUCGAUGUUAGCACGAGCACCUGAAUCCAGUUGUUGAGCAUUGGUGAAAUGAUAUUUGAAGACACCCUCUUUGGAAUUUGACAAGUUUGGAACAAGAGAAUUUGACAUCACUCUUCUAAUGGAUGGGCAAUCCAAUGCCUCGAGUUGUUCUAGAAAUGGUGGAAUCGGUGGAAUGCAUUCAAGCUUUUUGCAGUCGCUUAAAUCAAGUGAUUUCAGGCUUGAAAGAUGAGCAAUGCUCUCAGGAAGGUUCACGAUUCCGCUAUCACGCAGUGACAGUUCCAUUAAUGACGUCAAGCGACCGAUGUGUCUUGGGAUUUCUGUUAAUUUGGCACACCCCGAACAAUCAAGUUUAGAGAGAAGCUUCAUAUUAACAAUGGAGUUUGGAAGUGACUCGAGAUAAGUGCACUCUUGGAGUUCCAGGGAUCGAAGAUUAACCAAAUUGCCAAAUGAGGAAGGCAGUUCUUUAACAGCCGUACAUGUCAAGUCAAUAUGAGCAAAAGUAUGAGCCGGCUUCAUGAUCUCUGGGAAGGUCCUCAGCCUUGAGCAACCACCCAAAUCAAGCUUCCUCAAUUUCAAAUUGAAAAUGGUGCUUGGAAAAGUUUGAAGUGAAUUACAGUAGGUAAGGUGUAACUUGCAUAGUCUGGUGAGGCUUCCAAUGGAAGAUGGAAUAAUCUCAAGAUUCAAGCAACUGUGCGAACUCAGUUGUUGAAGCCCUACCAAACGGCACAAGGAUGAAAACUUAUUUUAUUUUUGCUGUUCAUGCAUAACAUUAACAAAUAUUGACAUGAGAGAUUGUGUUUGUAGGCUUCUAAGCUCACCAACGUGUCCCGUUCUUGAUGCUUUAGGGAAGAAAAUUUCCUUUGAGAUUGCAAAAGGACUCAGGAGAAUUUAGAAGUUCUGAGAUAUUUAUGAUAAGAAUUCAAGUUCUUUGUUACUAGCAGUUUAAUGGUUAUAUCAUUUUUGUUCUCUGGAAAAUAUCUGAUACAAAAUUGGUACUUAGAUUUGGUAUUUAUAUUGUUCAUAUGUAGAAAUCUAAUACUAUAGCAAAUUUUAUCUAAUUUAGAAGCAAUUAUAUUCUACUCUUUGGAAUAUGUUCUGGCCUGCUUUUAUGAUUGUAAUUAUAAAUUUAAUAGAGGAGAUUACCAAACAUCCAUACUAAUUAAACUUUUAUAUUAUAAAUUUUUUCAGUUUUAUAUUGAAAACAUAUCCCUUUAGUAUAAGACUUAAAGGAGAUGUCUUUUGGUAUAAAAACUGAAAUAAAAAAUCUUUUAACUAUAUGGGUCAAAUGGAUGAUUAAACUUAUAAAUGUACAAUUAAACUUAUAAAUUGUAAUAAACGAUACUUUAAUUUUAAACUCUAUUGAACUUUUUUUAAUGUUCUCGCUUUUCUUUUAAAUGCAUUUCACUUGUGUGUUUUGUAUUCAGGCUGAUUUUAACUUUAUUCUCAAAUAUACAAAAUAAUUUUUGGUAAUUAUCUUGUGUCGAUCUUGACUUGUAGUAUCAAUGUGAAAUAUGUAAUAAUUACUUUUCUAUGAUUCAGAGGGAAAAUUAUUCCAACUAGACUUUUACAAAUAUAUUUCAAGUGGUAAUAUGAUUUUAAAAAAAAUAGGAUUCGCCACAAAAAAAAGUUACUGUUCCUAAUUGACAUGGUGCUGUCAAAAUUAUUUAAUUACAAUUUAGAUCUUCACUCUACAUAUAAUUAAUUAAUUACCAAUUAUUUAAAAGACUAGUAAAUUAUAAUUUUAAUCUCUCUACAACUUUCUAAAUUUAGUUAUGAUUCUCUCAAAAAAAUUUCCCUUAAAUAUUAAUUAUAAUUACCUUUAGACAGAAACAUUUCUAAUUUAAACAAGCAAAAAUAAGAAAAAAAAAUAGAUUACAAAAACUAAAUUUGAAUUUUUUUAUAUAACUCCAAAUAUAUUUUAUCCAUAAAUAAAUUCUAUUAAUAUUUCAUUUCUGUUUAAAUAGUUUAUUCAUAUUUGUAAUAUUAUUUUCAAAAAACAAUAAUUGUUUUUUGAAUAAAGGUUUACAAAUUCUAUAAUAAUGUAAAUGAGAAGAGGAGUGAGGGUAAAAAUAUGAGAACCUAUGUGAGGGAAUCUUGUGACAAUUUAGCUGGUGUUCAACUUGUGAGAAGUCUUUCAACUUGGUUUUCAAGUUUUAUAUUCAAUUUCUGUUCCUUCAAAUGUUUCUGAUUUUACAGCUCCUCAGGAUUUUACAGCUCCAUGCACAAACCUAAUACAAUGAUAUGAUAUUCAAUCAGCAUUAAUUAGCAUAAACAGGUACCUUGUUGUAAAACUGGGAAUAUGAGAUUCCAUAGGAUGGAGAAAAGUAUGAAGAGGAAUUACCAAUCACCAUUUACCAAUCAUAAUGCCUUCACUACAAAUGCAACCCAAAUAUGCUAAAGAAGUUAAUGAAACUAUAUAUGAAGAGUUUCAAGAAGAUGCAACUCUGGGACAACAGAGCAACCCAUCUCAUGCUGAACACAAACAUCAAACUACAUCUAACAAUAAUUCAGAAAUCUUAAUCAACAAUUGAGCGAACCCACUCCUAAAAUGCCAUUGAGAAUGUAAAUAAAUCAAAAUACAUUAAAAACGAGAAAUUCUUAAUAAAAAUUCAACGUGUUGAACCUUGUAAUUUAGAAGUAUUAACGAGAAGCCAGUUUAGAUCCUCACCAAUGAAAGACUAUUUUACAGGUUAGCUUCCACUGGAUUCUUCAAUGUGAACAGCACCACCAUAUUUAUCAUCUUUCUUUUUGGAAUAAAGAGGGCAUAUGCCGCAUUCUUUUAUUGUCACAACUGACCACCCAAAGUCAUAAAGAGGACUGAUCUCAAAAGUGAAGCUGCGAGCAUCACACAGCCUAGGGCUUAGGGAUUCUAAGUUAAAUUUCCAGACGAAUGUGUGAUCUUUAUCAACAAAACUGUAUUCACCAUUCCAUUUGAAAUGUCUGUUUAACCUAUCAUUAUUUGGAAUGAUAUGUGUGCCAUCAUCAUCAGAUUCAAAUUUUAGGCUGUAACCAAAAGAACCAUAUCUACCUUUAACAGAAUUCGUAUCUAACACUCCAAAAACCACACACAAAGCGAAACCAGUGAGCCUAUCAUCGCUGCAGAAACUUAAAUCUUCAUUUAUAGUCACUGAAUGUCCCUUCCCACGAAAAUGGAACCAACCAGGAACUGUACUCCCUGGAAAACAGAAGAACACAGACCUAUAUCUAUCAUCGGUCAUCCUAAGCCUUGCAUCCUCCUCAAUGUUAGCACGACCACCUGAAUCCAGUUGUUGAGCAUUGGUGAAACGAAAUUUGAAGACACCCUCUUUGGAAUUUGACAAGUUUUGAACAAGAGAAUUUGGCAUCACUCUUCUAAUGGAUGGGCAAUCCAAUGCCACGAGUUGUUUUAGAAAUGGUGGAAUCUGUGGGAUGCAUUCAAGCUUUUUGCAGUCGCUUAAAUCAAGCGAUUUCAAGCUUGAAAGAUGAGCAAUGCUCUCAGGAAGGUUCACGAUUCCGCUAUCACGCAGUGACAGUUUCACUAAUGACGUCAAGCGACCGAUGUGUCUUGGGAUUUUUGUUAAUUUGGCACACCCCGAACAAUCAAGUUUAGAGAGUAGCUUCAGACUAACAAUGGAGUUUGGAAGUGACUCGAGAUCAGUGCAUUUGCGGAGCUCCAGGGAUCGAAGAUUAACGAAAUUGGCAAAUGAGGAAGGCAGUACUUUAACAGCCGUAUAUGAUAAGUCAAUGCGAGCAAAAGUAGGAGCCCGCUCCGUGAUAUCUGGGAAGGUACUCAGGCUUGAGCAACCACACAAAUCAAGCUUGCUCAAUUUCAAAUUGAAAAUGCUGCUUGGAAAAGUCUGAAGUGAAUUACAGCGGGUGAGGUGUAACUUGCAUAGUCUGGUGAGGCUUCCAAUGGAAGAUGGAAUAAUCUGAAGAUUGAAGCAACUGCGCAAACUCAGUUCUUCAAGCCCUAUCAAACGGCACAAGGAUGAAGGUAGUGCCUGUAUGGCUGUGGCGUCUAAGAUGAGCACCGCUAGAUCUUCCAACGUGUCCUGAAUCUCGGGUAAAUUUUCCAAUUUUGAGCAACCACGGAGAGAAAGUUGAUUUAUGAAUUUCAUAUCAGAAAGGUCAAUUGGAAAGAUUGUAAGAGAAGAACAGUGAGAGAGAUCUAUGUGAGAGAGCUUCUUGCCACUAAAUUGUAAGGGCACACCUUCGUAGUCUUCUGAGUAUUCUGAGUCUGUAGCAUUAUUAGCAUUUAUCUCUUUCAUCAUAUCCGGUUCCUGACGCUCCAGUAUGACAUGAGGGAGAAAUUUAUCUUCAUGUUCACCCAAUGAAAACAUAUUAAGCUUCUCACAACCGGAAACACUAAUCCAUCCUGGUGAUGUGGAUAAAAUGUUGCUGGGAAUAUUUACACUUUUGAGAUUAGAACAAUGAUCUAAACAUAAACAACUGAGCUUGGUGAGGAAUAUCGAAGAGUGAACUUCAAUCAACUUUGAACAAUAACUCAGCUUUAUUUCUUCAAUAUUCGGUGACAGAGAAAGGUCUGGUAUUCUAGUAAGUUCCCAAGAUUUAACCAGGUCGAGCCUUUUCAAGUUGGGUAAAUUCUGCCAGAAAUAGUAAAUGAAUGAGGUAACAAAUAAAAACUACUUUAUCUAUUUUUCUUCCUAUUUAAACUAUUAGCUACUAUCUAUUGAGUUUAUAUUUUACAUUACUUAAAAACCACUGUUAAAAAAACCACACUGUGGACUAACAAAACUCUGCCUAUAAAUUUUAUAGUUAUUAUAAAAAAUCACAAAAUUUAACGUCUUUUUGUUCCCUACCUAAAAUUACAUCCUAAUCAUUUGAACCUAAACUUAUUAUGUAUUCAAAAACUUAUGAUAGUAAUUUAUAAUCGAUCACAAUGUCAAAAUACUUUAUAUUAUACAUGUAUCAACUCACAAAAUAAAUGGUGUUGUCUCAGAUUUAAAAUUAAACCUUAGUUAAAAAGUCCAUCUUUCCAUAAUUUAUUUUAUUAAAUACAUAAUUUGUAAUUUAUUGUAUAUUAUAUUCAAGUUUAUGUUAUGAUAAAAAAAGUAUCUAAGGCAUUUUUAAUUAAAUAAUAUAAAAUAAACAACAUGAACUCAAUUAAAUAAUAUAAAUUUUUUUGAAUACUCGAUGGAAUAAAAAAAUUAAUAAAACCCUCAAUUUGAAAAUAACCAAAUUUAUAAGAUACUUAAAACUUAAUUAAACCUACAAAUUUUCAUUAUAUGGAAUUAAAUAUUGUAAAGAUUUACCACAUAAGUUUCAUAAGUAGAAGGUUUAAACAUAAAAUUCUUCACGUUGGGAGUUUCUUUCCUCUAUCUUAUAAGUUUUCGUUGUUUCUUUAAUAUUUUUUAUAUGGCUUCUGUCAAUGUAAUUUUUUUUUUGGUUUUAAAAUAUUAUUAAAGAUAAAAUAUGAAGACAGGGUAAUUAAAUUAAAUAUAAUUUUUAUUUUUCAGAAAUGAUGAAAAUUAUAAUUAAAUUAACUAAAUUAUAUAAAAUUCCAUUUUAUUUACAUAACUCAUUUUCAUAUUAAAAAACUAUAUAAGAUCUUCCAAAGUAGAUAUAAUACAUUCACGGGCCAUUAGAUGAUAUGCCUAAAAAAAUAUGCAAACUAUUAAAUUUAUAAUUAUCUUUAAUUAGAAACAUGCUGAGUAUGACUCAAAUAAAAGAAAUUUCAAAUCGAAUAAUGUCGAGAAGGCACAAAGGAAUUGCAAAUGAAAACUUGUAUAUGUAUAAUACAGAAAACAUGCUUGUAUAAUUUAUUUUUAUCUUUGAAAGUUUAGAACACAAAGGAACAUAGAUAGCUUGAAAAACCUGAUCUCCUUCCCAGAGUUGUUCAAGAUGGCAGAAUGGCAUUUCGAGGGUCACUAGAUUUUGUGGGCAAAAGUUUGGAGGCCAAAAUCUUUGAGGGAAAUGUGUCCAAUAAAGAAUCUUUAGAGUGUCUGGCAUAUCCACAAGAGGUGAUUCAAAAGACACUUUUAAUUCCAAUCCCCACGUGUAGAGCCUAAGCACCCUAAGAUUGUUCAUCUUUUCGAAACUUUGUGCAUGUACUACAACUUCUUUUACUUUGAAAGUAGAUAGUGAUAUACACUCUAUUGAAGUAGAUAGUGAUAUACACUCUAUUGCAUCUGACCCCUGAAAGUAAAUCAUGAAAUGUUGCAUUGCAGGAUGUUUGAUGACAGCUCAGUGGUUUGCAAUUUUUCACAAAGUAAAUCCAUUCUCAAUUGAGUAACGACAUAAUACCUUGUUCUUUCUUAAAACCUCUCAAAUUUCCUCAGCAUUAAACAAUCGGCUGCGUUUUCCAGGAUGCUGAGGACACUCUUUACGAACAAUUUCUUUACCCAUUUCUUGUAUUAGAUCGUGCAUCACAAUUCUACCAUGAAAGACAGAUAUUAGGCCCCUAUCUUUGAGAAUAUCCAUUCCAAUCUUGGAAGAGAAACCACAGUCAGCAAGUAUUUCUGCUACCACAAUCUCUUGUGACCUAUAUAAAAGCAAGCUAUGUCAAGAAAUAUAUUCUUCUCCUCCUCCUCGAGCCCAUCAUAACUUAAUUUUAAUACAUUGAAAAUACCAAGAUGUUGGCCCUUUUCCAACUUUUGCAACUGACUCUCCCAUGCUUCUCUUGUUCUUCCAUAAAGCAAUGACCCCAAAAUCUGGAGAGCUAAUGGAAUCCCUUUUGCAUAUCUCAACACCUUUUCUGACAGUUCCCUGUAAGCAAUUUCUUCUGAAGAUUUUUGUUUAAAAGCAAGUAAACUAAAAAGUUUCUGAGAAUCAUCAAAAUUCAACUCCUUAACUUCGUAGAUAUCAUCAGCUCUAGCAUUCUUAAGCACUUGUUUGUCUCUACUGGUGAUAAUGAUUCUACUGCCCUGCCCAAAACUAUCACUCCCUCUUAUUAAUUUUUGAAGUUGAGCUGAAUCGGUAACAUCAGUUAGAAGUGGAACACGUUUGUAGAAGUGGAACACGUUAGUUGGUUAGUUGCCUUAAGAAGCGGAUCAUGUAUUUUUUCUUGAACGUCUAAAACAAGGCUGCUGGAAUCAAACUGCAAUUCCAAUUUGUGAUAUAUUUGAUCACAAAUUGUAGUUUUUCCUAUUCCUCCCAUGCCACAAAUGCCUAUGAUCCGAACAUCCGGUAAGUCAAGAUGCAACAAGGACUGAAUUCCUUCAAUAUUUUUUUCAAUGCCGAUGAUUCCUUGAUCAUAACUGAUGGAAUAACGAUUCAAUUUUCUCAAAAUAUCUCCCACAAUUCCUUCAACAAGUGUGUGUUCUGACCUGGCAGAUGAUUUAGAAAAUAAAGUAUAAGUAUUCAUGCACAAAAGCUAAAACAAAACUAAAGAAAAAUUCAGAGUCAAGAAGAGUGAACAUCAUUGAAUAGAUUCACAUAUUGAUUGUAGGACGUUAUCUUCGAAUAUUAGUGUGGUUGGUUUAGAAAUUGCAAAUCAAGAUCGCAGAAAUUCUACAGUAACCGGUAGUGACUUCUGAUACUAGGAAGCAGUCUUGUAGGUACAAAGUUAAGCUAUAAGAUGUGAUAUGGUUCAGAUCUAUGACCCACUACGAAAAAUGGAAAAAAGAAACACUUGAUUUAUGGUGAGAUGAACACAAUUUUAGUAAAUGAAAAGAGAUCCUGAUUAUCUAAUAAAUAUAAUGACCUGGUGACUUUUGAAUCCCAGCCUGAAAGUCCAGCAGCUUCGGUGAGAGCAUCCUUCCAUCCUUGCACUUUGUCGUGCUUAAAGUGCUGCUCAUGCUCAUCGAAUGCUUCUUUGUAUCUUUCUUCCUGCUUCCUAAUAGUUGACGGAUCCACCUUGUAGAAAACAGGUAUGACAUCCCUUCCAUAUCUCUUCUUGCAAUCAAGUAUCUUAGUGAGUUCAUUCAAGCACCAAGUGGAAGAUGCAUAGUUUUGGGAGAAAACGACGAUAUAAAUCUUCGAUUCUUCUAUUGCAGAGAGCAGUGCAGAUGAAAUUUCUUCGCCCCGGGGUAGUGUCUCAUCAAUAUAUGCUUCUAUGUUCUUCCUUUGCAGUGCUGGAUGAAGGUGGCUAAUGAAGUUGUCACGUGUGUCUUCCCCUCUGAAGCUGAGAAACACAUCAUGCUUUGUUAGAGAAGUGGACACGGGGAAUGAUGAAGAACUUCCUGUUUAAUUUCUUCGCCCCUGUUUAAUCUGUAAUCAAUAUAUGCUUCAAUGUUCUUCCUCUGCAGCGCUGCAUAAAGGUGACUAAUGAAGUUGUCACGUGUGUCUUCCCCUCUGAAGCUGAGAAACACAUCAUGCUUGGUUAGAGAAGCAGACAUGGCCAAUGAUGAAGGGUUUCAAUUUUCUCUGCAACUCUCAGAUCCCUUUGUUUGUAAGCAACUUGCAUAU
Molecule: long non-coding RNA, 31269 nt
Filed under: Phaseolus vulgaris (common bean)
Lineage: Eukaryota; Viridiplantae; Streptophyta; Magnoliopsida; Fabales; Fabaceae
Description: long non-coding RNA (PVUL_LNC004767)
Source: RNAcentral